RNAcentral lists this ribosomal RNA (484 nucleotides) under uncultured bacterium. RNAcentral's name for it is "partial 16S ribosomal RNA". It matches the Rfam family "Bacterial small subunit ribosomal RNA", at positions 28 to 523 of the family's 1533-position model. The record is from RNAcentral.
GACGAACGCUGGCGGCGUGCUUAACACAUGCAAGUCGAACGAUGAACCCGGAGCUUGCUCCGGCGGAUUAGUGGCGAACGGGUGAGUAACACGUGAGUAACCUGCCCUUGACUCUGGGAUAACUGCUAGAAAUGGUAGCUAAUACCGGAUACGAUCCUCGGUGGCAUCACCAGGGGGUGGAAAGAAUUUCGGUCAAGGAUGGACUCGCGGCCUAGCAGCUAGUUGGUGAGGUAACGGCUCACCAAGGCGACGACGGGUAGCCGGCCUGAGAGGGUGACCGGCCACACUGGGACUGAGACACGGCCCAGACUCCUACGGGAGGCAGCAGUGGGGAAUAUUGCACAAUGGGCGCAAGCCUGAUGCAGCAACGCCGCGUGAGGGAUGACGGCCUUCGGGUUGUAAACCUCUUUUAGUAGGGAAGAAGCGAAAGUGACGGUACCUGCAGAAAAAGCACCGGCUAACUACGUGCCAGCAGCCGCUGUAA